Octodon degus (degu) is the source of this 2504-nucleotide long non-coding RNA. RefSeq lists it as uncharacterized. The record is from RefSeq and is a predicted model, not a curated record. Lineage: Eukaryota; Metazoa; Chordata; Mammalia; Rodentia; Octodontidae. The transcript is spliced from 4 exons.
GCGCGCUCGGUCCCCAGCUCCAGGGCUCGCCCCGCGGCCGUACACCCUUCACCCCCGGGAGAGGCGGGGGCCGCGGGCGGGCGAAGGGGGAGGGAAGUCCCCUUUACGCUUCCCCUUCCUUUCCUGUCUACUUUGACGGGGAGGGUACGUGGGCGCACCGCUGGGUUGCGACCUGAGGCCGUGGGGACAGGUCAGGUAGGAGCAUCAGCCUGCAGAGGGUGCCCAGGGCCCAAGAACCAGCUGGAGAAGCCUUUCCUGUGUGUGUGUGGGAAAUGCAGCCCUUUUCUAAUAGCACGCUGGGUGCAGGUACUGGACUAGCCGGGCAGCAACCCUUCUGGCAGUUGCCAUGAUUUGGUGAAGGAUUCUGAAGGUCCUGCCGUUUGGGGGCCAAAUAAUUGUACCUUUGUGAGGCUGUGAGCUGGUCAGAUGCCCAGAAUGGGAAGACGCGUUCAAAGUGAAAGUGGGCACCUUCGGGAACAUUGGAGCCGAUAGCCCUGGACUCCCUUCCAUCCAGGCUACCUGCCAGACCCGGAAAAACGAAAACACAGCCUGGGAAGCCCCCACCAACCGGUGCCUGUGCCAGCUCACCUCUGGCUGUGGCGAGGCUGCCGGUGCACAUGGGCUGCCAGGGCCAGCUCCACGUUCUUCCCUCCCCUUCCACUUCACUGGAGCCGGGAGCCUUGCAUGCGGAGACUGCCAAAGUCCACUGGGUCCUUCCUCACCAAAAAUGGUGAGACAAGAUUUCAACUUGUCCGCUGAGGAGCCACAUCAGAAAGUUUCUGAAGAGGAAGGGCAGGGCUCCUGAACCCUCAGGACAACCAGUCUCAGGUCCCCAUACCAUGAAGAGCAUCCCUUGCACAGUGGCUGUACGGUGCCAUCCAAUUUCCUCAGGGUUGAAGUGCGGGAGAGCCGGCCUCUGAUACCUGGUUUUGGGAGGUGAGCGACUUUGAAGCCGGUUAGGGAGUGGUGGGAGAGCUCCUUGCUUUGGCAGUUGUCACUGUUUGGCUCUCCACCGGAUGUGGAAACCCAGUCUGCCUACGGGACCGAUUGCCAGUUAUCUAGGAGGAGAAACAGAAGCUCGGCGGCCGGAGGAACUUCGUCUUGCGCAGUGCGGGCCGGGUGGCGCUGAAGGAUUCCCGCCGCUGCUGGACUGCAGAGCCGAAGGCGCAGGGGGUGAGCUCGCCGUCGCUGGCCAGAGCAUCGGGAGCGCUGGGGCGGCCGGCAACCCGGUGCGAACAACGUGAAGAGGCUGAGGAUUCUCGCCACAGACGCUGUCGGUCCUUUGGCUGCCUGAAAAGAAAAGAAACCUAUGGCCGCCCUCCACCGUAGCUCGACGCUCACGCCCGCAACAAAACAGGAAGCCAGCGCAGGACUGUGGAUUCUUUAUGUCAACAAAUGCACCGAAGACCUCCGAGCGGUUGAAGGAAGUCGGGGGUUUAUAUGUACACUGGUCCCGUCGGCUGCAGCUUUCUCGCCAGUCCCAGACAACCAGUGAGGCAGCCAGGAGGCCUGGGCCCGCGGAAGCCCGACUCUCCCCAGAAUCCCGGAGACCUCGACACCCCUGGUUCGGGCUGUGAAAGAUUAACAACGCGCAAAGCAACCAGCAGAAGAAAGGGAACUCGAGAGCACAGCCACGAGGAAAGGGGAUUCAGGACCCCUUCAAGUACACACUGAGGUGUAAUGAGACUUUUACGGGCACUUUAUAUAUUGUAAUUCUGACGAUGUGUGAACUUUGAUAUCCCUAUACAGAUUCACACAUUAGACCUGCGCACACGCGCACUGAAUGUGCACAUCCAACGUCAACUGGGUGAAAUGUAGACAUCACACUGAGCCGCCCGAGGGGGAAAAAUAUCUUCCCUUGUCAGACUGGCCUGGUGACAUUGUUCCAGGUAGCUGGUCCCUCUGUCUACUCAUUGCCAGUUUUCAGGCUAUUGACCAUUCCCUUUUCAGGGUUCUGUACCUGUGUAACCUGCCCUCAGAGGAAGGUGCCCCCCUGACCAGCAUUUGCCCGGGUUGGCAGUCAACCCCAGAACCUCUGGCUGGCUCCGGGGACCCUCACUGAGCUGGUCUGGAGCAUCUGAUGCUGUCCAUAUAGCAGCCACCAUCCCUUUGUCCCAGGGCUGGAAUCCCUCUUGGCCCAAUGCUCAGGGAAAUGAAGCAGCUCAAUAGAAACGUUUGAUAUGAGUUUGUACAGAUGUUUACACUCUGGUGAGGGGGGCCGAGUACGGAAGCCCUACUGAUCAGCCCACAGCUUUGGGUUUGGAUACUUGGUUUAAGUGCUAGAAAGAGGACUUGGCAGAACGAAAGUAUCGGGGGUGGUGGGCUAAUUUCAAGGAAAUGAAAAAACAAAAACAAAAAAAGGAUAUUUUCUGUUUCUGGACACUGAAGAUUAAGUGUGUCCCUCCAAUGCUACCCAACAGAUCACAUUCCUUUUCUUAGGUCCCAUUUGUCCAAUACAAUUUUGUAAAAAAGUAUUAGGAUUCCUGAAUGCACAGGAAAGUACA